Molecule: ribosomal RNA, 433 nt
Filed under: uncultured bacterium
Lineage: Bacteria
Description: partial 16S ribosomal RNA
Rfam family: Bacterial small subunit ribosomal RNA
Source: RNAcentral
AACGAACGCUGGCGGCAUGCCUAACACAUGCAAGUCGAACGUAGGCUUCGGCCUUAGUGGCGCACGGGUGCGUAACGCGUGGGAAUCUGCCCUUUGCUUCGGAAUAACAGUUAGAAAUGACUGCUAAUACCGGAUGAUGUCGCAAGACCAAAGGUUUAUCGGCAAAGGAUGAGCCCGCGUAGGAUUAGCUAGUUGGUGGGGUAAAGGCCUACCAAGGCGACGAUCCUUAGCUGGUCUGAGAGGAUGAUCAGCCACACUGGGACUGAGACACGGCCCAGACUCCUACGGGAGGCAGCAGUGGGGAAUAUUGGACAAUGGGCGAAAGCCUGAUCCAGCAAUGCCGCGUGAGUGAUGAAGGCCUUAGGGUUGUAAAGCUCUUUUACCCGGGAUGAUAAUGACAGUACCGGGAGAAUAAGCUCCGGCUAACUCCGUG